GAAAUCUGAAACAAACACAGGAAAGUAUCAGUCACUACUUAGAUCAGUCCAGACAUGCAACCACAGAAGGAACCAAAGGUCAUGUCUAUUCAACAUGCGUAAAUUAAAUGUGUCCAGAAAGCAUAAGCCAGCAACAAGUUUGUUCCACACCUCCACACGCCUCCAGAGUACCAACCUUUUGGCCAGAGUAUGGGAUUAUAGUUGACCACAGCAUAAAUAUUUCAGAAUCCAUUGGCAUGGGAAGGAAAAACAAGCAUGAGCUCUUCUUUCUGUGGGAUACCUUGCACCAAUCCUUCAUUGUCAGAGCAAUUACAACCUUUUGUUUGGUUGCCUCAUUUGCUUUCCUGCAAUGCUGUGUCUUAACACCACAUUUACCUGAUAAAUUGGCCAGCUUCCCCAUCUGAAUAAUGAUCCAAGGCUUUUACAUGCUCUUGUCAUAAAAAAAACAGCAGCUCUGCUGAAUGCCCUGGCUGCUAUCAGUAAACACAGCCAAGAGGCUGUGCCUGCAGCGCUGGCAGGAGUUACGACUCUGAAAACACCAGCCAGCUCAGCUGCCUUAGUCACUCACUCACAAGUGGUGCUCACACAUGGUCCCUCAGCUAGCUUGCUGGUGACUGGAUGGAUACAGUGACAACACAGAUGAAAUUAACAACAACUUAAAGCAAGUUAUUAUGUUCAUAUUUGUAAGUCAAAAUAGAUGAUACAGCCCUUUUACUGCACUGAACACUGACUGAAGGAACUAUUGCACUGACAAAUGUCUGGCAUUUCUUUGUGGGCUCUCCAAUAAGGUCAACAGCAUCUGAGCAACCCUUAUCAAUGCUGGAGUAAGAGAAGGCAGCGAAACCCAGUCAAGGCAGGGAACUCUUAUACAAAAACAUUGUUGAAUAUUGACUUUUAUAUUGGCAUUUCCAGGAUCCAAAAGACUAAGGGAAAUGAUACUAUGUCAAUAUUGGAGUAUAAAGACAAUGGGCACUUUCAUUGCUGGGUACGUUAAACUGAUCUUCCGGCCCAUCUGGAUCUUCAGUGGAAAUGGGGCAAAUCAUUCCAGGUUCAUCUUUCAUUACUCAUUAGUAAUGCUUUUUCUUUUUCUUUUUUUUUUUUUUUCUUUGUGGGAAAGAAAAAAAUGCACAACGAAGCUGUGAUUUUUAUUUUUUUUUUGGUACCAACGAUCACUUUCUCAUCUCAGAAUGGCUCCAGGCCUUUCUUUAAAAAAAUAAAAAAUAAAUAAAUAAAACACAACACUUUAACAACUUCAGGGAAAAAAAAAAAAAAAGAGAGAGAGAGAGGGAGGGUAACAAAGGUAAUGAAUAGUUUCAUUCUUUAAAAAAAGCACCAUGCUUUCAAGCUCUGGUACACAAUGACUGCCCUCUCCCCUCAUGCUGGGAAAAGAACCAGAGCAGAUGCUUCCUCACACAUCCAGUGUGCCUCAUAAAAGUGUGGGACUCUUCACAACAGAGCAAAGUAUUGCUUCACUAGUGCAUCGCUCCCUGCAGCGGUCUCCAGGGUAUUUGAAACCUACUAAUGGAGCAGAUAUACAGACAGCUAGAGGACAGGAACAGUCACACUGAAUAAGACUAAUAACCCAUCUAACAUUGUUUUUUGGUUUCAGAGUCAACCACGUCAUGCUGCCAAGAGGUGUGCUCUCCUAACAGAGAACUGCACAUUGACCUGCUGGUCUGAGUCUGGCUCUUGUAACGGCUGGAGGAUGGAGACCUGCUCCUUUUCCCCUGUCCCCAAAUACAGCUACCUCACAGCACUGGGUGAAGACUGGAUGUACCUGGAAUUGUGCUGGAAAAAGUGCCUGAACAGUUAAUCUGGAAUAGUUCUGUGCAGUCGAGCCCUGUUGUAUGUAUCUCCACCAGGCCUCUUAAACACAAGGGAGAAACGGUGUUGUUCAUCUACCAUCAUGUUUCAUGGAUUUGGGACAUCUCCAGAAGAUGACAUGAAGAGGGAAUAAACCACUGCAUACGAGCUGUGCAGAUCCUGUUUGCAGAUUAUCUACAAGCUCGGCAGCAUCAGAGAGCUCCCAAAGCUGAGAACAGCACAAACUCAGCCCUGCCCAUCUCUGGCAUGCCCUUGCUGUCAGGGCUUGAAAGUGGAUCAAUACAAAACAGAUCGUGAUGGCCUAAUUUGUUUCUCUGCCACAUCUCCAUUAAGCUCUUGACAGCCGGUGACUGCCAGUGAAACAGCGAGGAGGCCUGCCCUCUCUUUGCCGGAGCUGACCUCCCUGCCCUGCCUGUCCUGUGCCUUCCAGAAGCACUGCAUGGCCAGCUCUGGGUACUAACCUCUCCCAGACAUACAGUAGGCUGUUAGAGAAUCAUGAGGGAGGGGAAAAAAAUAAAAAAUAAAAAUAAUGCACCUGUACCAGUCAGUGCUAUAGUUUCUAUUGCAAUUUCCAGUGUGCAGACCCACAAAGCAUCAUUUAAGAUAGAAAUUACAGAAAUUAAAGCAGGGCAGAAAGUGUCUAAACUUUCAGAACUUUCAGAGCACUCCAUUCCUCUAGAUUUGGACCCCCUAGAUGCCUGCUGUGGUUUGCUAAUCCCAUGGAAAGGACUAGACACACCCCCAUCCCAGAGGAGGCCCCUCAAGAGCCCCUCUGCCCUGUGCAGACAAGGCACACAAGUGAUGGGUCUCUGGGCCAAAACACUGACUGAGAUGCACUCAGUUCUUCUCACAUGCCAGCUUAUAAGGUAGAAUAUCUCCAGCAAGAUAGGCUGAAAGGUGCCCUUUGGAUGGCAAUCGAUUGCCAGCAUCAGGUACCAGCUUUCCCAGCCUGAAUACUUGUCAAGUAACAGAAGACUGCAGGGCCUAGCCUGGAAAGAAAGCAUACCUGACAUCUGGAUUAUAUGAACUAUGUAAGUUUCUUAAAAUGAGGUUGCUAACCUGAUGAUGAAGAGAUGAGUGUAACACAAAAGAGAGCUAGUUUGAAGACACAGAGUUUUCACCCUUGCAAUGUAAAUGCAGGACAAGCUGUCCUAACAGCACAGCAGGUAGCAAUACUCUGCUAACACAUCAGGAAGGUAAACAGGCCACCAACGUCUCAUAUGUACCUGUGGAGAAGAUUAGGAAGUCCAUACUAAUGAAGGAAUACAAAGUACCACAAUGAAAAGCUAAUUGUAUAUAUUCUCAGCAAUAUUUUAACUCUUGGCAUUAAGGUCUCCAAUGUCUUUAAGCAGACACUAAAGUGAACAAAGACCCAGAUAAACAUCAUUAAGAACUGACAACAGGAGGCCUGCUACCAUGGAAAAGGACCUGACAAUCUGCACGAUAUCUCUGUCUGAUAUCUGAUUCAUUACAGAAUAUGGAAGAUAUCAGCAAACACUGUCUGUUUUGUAACAUAUGGAGAUGUUAUUUCAAGAAUAUUUUUUGUAAGUUCUACAGAUCUGAUUCUGCUUCACAGAAAUCUCAGCCAUGCCUUUAAAGUCUGAGAGAAAGAGCUCACCAAUUACCAUAUGGGCUCCAAAGAUCACACCUAACAGUAUUACACAGCAUCACUCAAACGAAUGAGGCCAUUUUAUUAUUGAGAUAUCAUGUAUUAACUUGACAUGCAAAUUAGCAUAUCACCUAGACAUGUUGAGGGAAAUUUUCACUGAAACUUCUUUCCAUGUGUACCUCAAAACAGACAGAACAAUCACUUAAAUCAAUCACUUAAAUCAAAGCAAAGUUUUUUCUUCAAUAACAGGAUUCUGGGUUGUUCAGAUACAUGAGAUGUAGGAACAAACACAACUUUGCCUAACUCAAACUACGUACAGUGUCCUACAGCAGCCACACAUUCUUAUCAUAAAGAGCACCCUAAUAAAGAAGAUGAAUUGUUGUAAUUAAUUACCUUUCAAGUCUCUGCAGAUAACCUGUCUCUCUUUAGGAAAACUGGCUUCUCCAGCUCUCUUCAGUACUGAAGUCUAAGAGAUGGCAACAGAGCCAGUAGUUCUGAAACCCUGUU
This is a long non-coding RNA of Anas platyrhynchos (mallard), 3940 nucleotides long. RefSeq lists it as uncharacterized. The record is from RefSeq and is a predicted model, not a curated record. NCBI's taxonomy places the organism in Eukaryota, Metazoa, Chordata, Aves, Anseriformes, Anatidae.